AGAGAGCGGCGUACGGGUGCGGAACACGUGUGCAACCUACCUUUAUCAGGGGGAUAGCCUUUCGAAAGGAAGAUUAAUACCCCAUAAUAUAUUGAUUGGCAUCAGUUAAUAUUGAAAACUCCGGUGGAUAGAGAUGGGCACGCGCAAGAUUAGAUAGUUGGUAGGGUAACGGCCUACCAAGUCAGUGAUCUUUAGGGGGCCUGAGAGGGUGAUCCCCCACACUGGUACUGAGACACGGACCAGACUCCUACGGGAGGCAGCAGUGAGGAAUAUUGGACAAUGGGUGAGAGCCUGAUCCAGCCAUCCCGCGUGAAGGACGACGGCCCUAUGGGUUGUAAACUUCUUUUGUAUAGGGAUAAACCUNNNCNCGUGNGNNNAGCUGAAGGUACUAUACGAAUAAGCACCGGCUAACUCCGUGCCAGCAGCCGCGGUAAUACGGAGGGUGCAAGCGUUAUCCGGAUUUAUUGGGUUUAAAGGGUNCGUAGGCGGAUCUGUAAGUCAGUGGUGAAAUCUCAUAGCUUAACUAUGAAACUGCCAUUGAUACUGCAGGUCUUGAGUAAAGUAGAAGUGGCUGGAAUAAGUAGUGUAGCGGUGAAAUGCAUAGAUAUUACUUAGAACACCAAUUGCGAAGGCAGGUCACUAUGUUUUAACUGACGCUGAUGGACGAA
RNAcentral lists this ribosomal RNA (668 nucleotides) under Chryseobacterium piscium. RNAcentral's name for it is "bacterial SSU rRNA". It matches the Rfam family "Bacterial small subunit ribosomal RNA", at positions 90 to 757 of the family's 1533-position model. Lineage: Bacteria; Pseudomonadati; Bacteroidota; Flavobacteriia; Flavobacteriales; Weeksellaceae. The record is from RNAcentral.